Long non-coding RNA from Phasianus colchicus (ring-necked pheasant), 1760 nucleotides. NCBI's taxonomy places the organism in Eukaryota, Metazoa, Chordata, Aves, Galliformes, Phasianidae. The record is from Ensembl.
UGGGGGUCCUCCACGGGGUCGCGACCUCGAGGUCCUCCAAGAGGUCCUCCAAGGAGUCCUCCAAGGGGUCACGACCCCGGGGUCCUCCGCGGGGUCACGACCUCCACGCGGCGCCACGCCCCCAGCCCCCCUCCGUGGGUUCCCCCGUGGUGCCCCCCACCCCUCCGCCUUCCCCCCCGUGGUGGGGGAUGGGGGGGGGACCNNNNNNNNNNNNNNNNNNNNNNNNNNNNNNNNNNNNNNNNNNNNNNNNNNNNNNNNNNNNNNNNNNNNNNNNNNNNNNGAGGAGGGGCGCAGGACCCCCCCAGACCCCCCAGCCCGCGGACAAAUACCUCAGAGUCGUGCGCUCAACCAAAGAGCCGCCCACCCCGGGGGGCCCCGUCCCGCCGCGCCCCCACCCCACUCUUCUCGGGGACCCCCAUUUCUGGGGGGGCGACCCCAAAUCCCUCCCCUCCCCCCUCCCCGCCCCCCCACCCAGUGACGUUCCCGCUGUGUUCCCCCAUUCCUGGUGCAUCCCCGCUCCCCAGGCUUGGGGGGCUUCUGUGGGGUGGGGGGCUUCGAGUGCUGGGGGCUCCGUGUUCUCGGGGUCUCCGUGUCUUUGGGGUCCCCACGGCCUUGGGGUCUUCGUGUCUUCUUUGGGGUCUCCGUGUUCUUGGGGUCUCCGUGAAUUUUGGGGUCUCCGUGCCCUUGGGGUCUUCGUGUCUUCUUUGGGGUCUCCAUGUCUCUGGGGACUCCAUGUCUUCUUUGGGGUCUUCAUGUCUUCUUUGGGGUCUCUGUUCUUGGGGUUCCACAGUGUUUGGGGUCUCCAUGUUCUUGGGGGUCUUCAUGUCUUUGGGGUCUCCAUGACUUGGGGUCUCCAUGACUUUUGGGGUCUCCACGUUCUUGGGGUCUCCAUGUCUUCUUUGGGGUCUCCAUUCUUGGGGUUCCCGAGUCUUUGGGGUCUCCAUGUCUUUGGGGUCCCCAUGACUUUUGGGGACUUCACGUCUUUGGGGUCUCCAUGUUCUCAUUUGGGGUCUCCAUGAGUUUGGGCCUCCAUGUUCUUUGGGGUCUCCACCUUUUUGGGGUCUCCAUGACCUGUGGGUCCUCAUGGAUUCUUGGGGUCUCCAUGACUUUGGGGUCUCCAUGUCCUUGGGGGUCUUCAUGUAUUUUUGGGGUCUCCAGGACUUUGGGGUCUUCAUAGUUCUUGAGGUCUUCAGGUCUUUGGGAUCCCCAUAUUCUUGGGGUCUUCACAUCUUUGGGUUCCUCAUAGAUUUUUGGGGUCCCCCGACGCUCCUGGGGUCUCCGUGCCUUUGGGGUCUCCAUCUUCCAUUCCUCAGAGCACCCCCAGAUCUCAGGGACCCCCCCAGACCCCCCCCGUGUCCCCAAUUCCUGCUGUGUCCCCACAUCCCGGGGCGCCUCAACGCUUCUUGGGGGGGGGGGGUCCCCAUUUCUUCGCUGAUCCUCACUUUUGGGGGGGGUCCCCCACUUCUCGGGGGUGUCCCCCAUUAUGACCCCUCCCCCCCAGUUCUUGGUGCACCUCUAUGAUUCUUAGGGAUCUCCCCAAUUCCUGGGUAGGGACCCAAAUUUUGGGGUUCACCUCAUCUCCUGACACCCCCCCUUUCUUUGGGGUUCUCCCCAGUUCUUGGAGUGGGGGGGGGAAAGGGGGGAUUCCCAUUUUUGGGGUCUCCCCAUUUCCUGGGCUCCCCCUCCCCCUUCCCCACUGCACACACUGGGGAGGGGAAAAUAAUAAUAAAUAGAUCUGAAAAAAAAGGAAAAGGUGGGAA